Molecule: long non-coding RNA, 1649 nt
Organism: Balaenoptera musculus (blue whale)
Lineage: Eukaryota; Metazoa; Chordata; Mammalia; Artiodactyla; Balaenopteridae
Exons: 2
Source: RefSeq, a predicted model, not a curated record
AUUCCUCCCCAAGAGCUAGUAAUAUAUGAAAACUUAGGUCAGGCACUGGGAAGAGGGCUCUUCCAGGUCAAUGUGCUGGGUUUAACCCUGCAGGGACUCAGCAAGUCCUGGGUGUAAACAGCACCAAAGGGAGGCCCAGACCCAGGGCCUGAGUCCUGCCCAGCUCCUAUCCCCAAAUCAGGGUGGGGCUCAGCUCAGGUGCUGGCUGAACAUUUGCAGAUAUCAAUUCCUGAGGAGAGGUUAGAUGUAGGUUCCCAGCUCCUGCCCCAACCUCCUGGGGUACUGGACUGCCAGCAGCUAUCCAGUGGAGCAAAAUGGGGAUAUUAGGUUAAAACAUGAGGGUCCUGCAUUGCAGCCUAGGGGUGAGGUGGGAGCAUCUGAAGGAGACCAUCUCGGCCCGGGUCUAGUGCCCACACUUCGGUCUAUAUAGGUCCUAUGGCCUCUUUGUCCCUGGAGUCACUUCAGGCAUAGCCUGGGCAUCGUCUCCCCCAUCGGUCUCAUAUGCCAGGGUGGACACAAGUGGGCAGGGCUGGACUGCAUCUGCGAGGUGAUGUCACCGCCCCCUGGUCCCCACUCGGGGCUCCGCCCGGGUCCCUCCCCUCCUGGCCUGGGAUGACAGGAGGAAGUGGAGAGGGUCAGCUCCCAUGACAGACGCAAGGAGACUGUUCACGGAUGGCUGCACGCAGAUAUACCCUGGUCCUUGACCCCGGUUCUCCUGGGCUUCUAUCGGAGGGCAAGGAACGUAACAUGGUUACCCAGAAGGGGGACAGGACUGUACAGCUGCACUUGCCAAGUACAGCUGGAUGCUUCAGAGCACAAGGACAAUAUCCAGUUCAGCACGGUGUAAGGCAUGGAUGCACAGGGAGAGAGGCCUUUGUCGGCGGUAAGUAGCAUUACGGAAAAAACUCCAAACCAGCAGGAUAGAAACAGUGCUCGACGCUCCAGUUUUUUAGAUAGUAAUCCCAAGAAUCCAGUUCAAAUCCCUAUAGUCAACAUGUAGGGAGGAAUUCAAUUUCUAGCAUUGUUUCUCCAGAUCUGAGCUGAGGCCAUUUGCUCCUGGCUUGGUAAUAAAAAAGAAAAUAGGUUUCUUCCUGUUUCUUUCUUGGCAUGGAAACACAGCUUCGAGAAGAGAAGGCCAUGAGUCCUGGGAGCACUAUGAAGGUAGCUAAACUCUUCCCAUACCCUAUAUAACUACAGUCGAUGACUGGGGAAAAGAGAGAGGACAGGGAACUUUACCUAGCCACUGGCAUCAGAAACAAAAAAGUAAAUUAAUUGUGAGGCUCUCCACUUCAGAAACACCCUGAAUUUAAAAAACAAAACUUUGAAAAAUUAAACAGUUAAAUCCCUCUUCUAAAAGUCAUUUAUUUACAUAUUAUAUGCCCAGUAUAUAAUGUGUAGAUAAAUGUAUCCUGCAGUGAAAGUGACCAACCUACUGGACUUAACAGCACAUUACAGGACAAACUGUUGAAGGAUUUCAUCUCACAUCGGUAUCUUUUAAUAAAAAAAAAAAUCUGGCCAGGGCUGCGAUGAAACAAACAGGAACACUUCAGAAUCCAAGGCAGAAGGAAGGCUGUUUGCCUCUUUAGAGAAUUGUAGGGGUGUGAAAAGGGAGAGACAGAUCAUGCACAAAAGUACUGACAAAUUACACA